Molecule: transfer RNA, 65 nt
Filed under: Syndesmis kurakaikina
Lineage: Eukaryota; Metazoa; Platyhelminthes; Rhabdocoela; Umagillidae
Description: tRNA-Leu
Source: RNAcentral
UUAUAGAUAGUAAAAAAAAAUAUAUUAAAUUUAGGUUUUGAAGGUGGUAGUAUUACCUCUAUAAA